CUUUUUAGUGUUCAAUCUAGAGGCAAACAAUGUGCUUUUAUGAGUUUAUCAGCACUUUUAACUGCCCAAAAUAUACCACUGAUCGAUUGGUCAAAAACAACAUUUAAUCGUCUUAUUAGGCCACUAUUUGUUGUAUAUUAGUUUCUCAUCCCCGCCCGCAUGCUUUUUAAGAAAAUUGUCUUGUUCGCCAUUAUUGCCAUUAUUGCCAUUUUUGACCAUUAUUACAAAUUUUGUGAUGUCUUCAAAAUUAUAUUUGAAAGAAAGACAUGCAAUUAGAAACGUUCCCAAAC
This is a non-coding RNA of Paramuricea clavata, 290 nucleotides long. The record is from the annotation of a GenBank genome assembly. NCBI's taxonomy places the organism in Eukaryota, Metazoa, Cnidaria, Anthozoa, Malacalcyonacea, Plexauridae.